AUGUCCAGAUUAGCCAUGCAUGUCUAAGUAUAAGCACCUUAUACUGUGAAACUGCGAACGGCUCAUUAUAUCAGCAAUAAUUUAUUUGAUGGUUCCUUACUACACGGAUAACUGUAGUAAUUCUAGAGCUAAUACGUGCGUAAAAUCCCGACUCUUGCGGGGAGGGAUGUAUUUAUUAGAUAAAAAGCCAGCGCGGGUUCUGCCCGGUUUUGUGGUGAAUCAUAGUAACUUUUCGAAUCGCAUGGCUUCACGCCGGCGAUAGUUCAUUCAAAUUUCUGCCCUAUCAGCUUUCGACGGUAGUGUAGUGGACUACCGUGGCGUUAACGGGUAACGGAGAAUUAGGGUUCGAUUCCGGAGAGGGAGCCUGAGAAACGGCUACCACAUCCAAGGAAGGCAGCAGGCGCGCAAAUUACCCAAUUCUGACACAGAGAGGUAGUGACAAAAAAUAACAAUACCUGGCUUCUUUAGGUCGGGUAAUUGGAAUGAGUACAAUUUAAAUC
RNAcentral lists this ribosomal RNA (500 nucleotides) under uncultured eukaryote. RNAcentral describes it as "SSU rRNA". It matches the Rfam family "Eukaryotic small subunit ribosomal RNA", at positions 35 to 531 of the family's 1831-position model. The record is from RNAcentral.